GGGGGCGUAGCUCAGUUGGGAGAGCGCCGCGUUCGCAACGCGGAGGUCGUCGGUUCGAUCCCGUCCGCCUCCACCA
This 76-nucleotide transfer RNA is filed under the name Myxococcales bacterium. Its description in RNAcentral is "tRNA-Ala". It matches the Rfam family "tRNA". Rfam says of the family: Transfer RNA (tRNA) molecules are approximately 80 nucleotides in length. Their secondary structure includes four short double-helical elements and three loops (D, anti-codon, and T loops). Lineage: Bacteria; Pseudomonadati; Myxococcota; Myxococcia; Myxococcales. The record is from RNAcentral.